Ictalurus punctatus (channel catfish) is the source of this 1387-nucleotide long non-coding RNA. The record is from Ensembl. NCBI's taxonomy places the organism in Eukaryota, Metazoa, Chordata, Actinopteri, Siluriformes, Ictaluridae.
GAAGAACUACGCACACGGGGGGAAAACUGCAAAAGAUGCUAUGGCGACAAGUUCAGCUCCUCCCCGACUCGUCGAGAGGGAAAAAUGCAAGCGUCGAAUAUGGAAAUACUUCGCAUUCGAGGCGGAUAAAAACAGACAUAUAAUUGAUGCUCUGAAGCCGGUGUGCAAACGAUGCCAUCGUUCACUUCAAACAAAGGGAGGAAACACCUCGAAUUUGGCGAAGCACCUGAAAGACAGGCACCCCGAUCUCUUCAAAGAAUUCAAGAUGAUAACAGCCAGAGGAGGAUGUCCACCAGGAGAGUCAGGAGCAAAGUCAGCAAACAUUAACACAGCCAACCUUAAGAGCAGCUUAUAAAAGGCACAGAAAACAUGACAAAAACUCAACGAAGAAAGGAAACUGGACAGGGCAGUUUCUGAAUUUAUAUUCAUGGAUCAAGUUCCUGUCUACACUGUAGAAAAGCAUGGAUUCCAGCAAAUGCUUCAGCAGUUCAACCCCAGAUACCAGCUACCAAGCAGAAAUUACUUCAUGUAUACAGAGUUCCCCAAACUAUACACCGAAACCAGAGACCUCAUUUCAGAACCUCUCAAAGAAAAAACAUCUUAUGCCUACAUAUUGUAAGGGAAUUAGCCCGGGAAGGGCGGAGCACAGACCCACAAGAGACAGGUUUUAGUCAAUACGGGGGUUUUAUUUGUCUGUGUGAGUGAGUGUGAGGGGUCUUGUGGGGGUGUGGCUGGCAUGGUGACGUUCUCGAGGGCGUGUCGGGGCUCGCAAGAGGUGUGUGUGGGUUUCCCGUGCCGUCAUCCACCGUUGAACGCGAUGUCACCAGCCGGCGGUCUUGUCCGCACUCGCACGUAGUCUGUCUCUUAACCGUUCUCCUCGCAGGGGCAGAAGAGCGUCCUUUUAUACUCUUCCGCCGUUGCCUGAGUGGUGGAAUUUUCCCGACGGAUUCCCCAAUCGCCGGCCGGUGUAGCGUCGACGGUCCCGCCCCACCGUGACGGUCCUUCCGGGCUGAUGGUGUGUUUGGCACGAGGCUGUCUGCUUCGUGUCUGCGCGGCAGUCGGGGAAGGAGCGAUUUUCUUAUCAUGCGCGCCGGCUGUCGGUCCGUCGCGACAAUAUUUAUUAUAUAUCUAUUUUGUAAUUCCUUUUUUAGAUUAUGUGACUGUUGACACUAUUGUAUUUUGUGUUUUAUAAUGCUCAAAUGUUUAAAUAAAGGAAUUAAUGUUUAAGUAUUAUUUAUUUAUUUUUACACACUGUGGUAUCGACUUUGGUCUUGAGUAUCGUGUAUUUUUGCUGAUAUCGGUACCAACUACUGGAUUUAUGGUAUCGUGACAUCCCUAGUUAUGAAUACUCUGUAUCUGUGGGAUUGUCCUCCUGUACUGAUGUUCC